UGACGUAGGGGGCAAGCGUUGUCCGGAGUACUGGACGUAAAGCGCACGCAGGCGGUCUCUUAAGUUUGGAAGCUGACAGUUGGUGGCUUAACUGCCCAAAUGUGCUUCGAAAACUGAGAGACUUGAGGGCUUCAGAGGGACAGGAAUCCGGGUGGAGUGGUGGAAUGACGUAGAAGAUCCGGAGGAACACCAAAGGACGAAGGCAGUGUCCUGGGGAGUACCUGACGCUCAGGU
Molecule: ribosomal RNA, 234 nt
Filed under: uncultured bacterium
Lineage: Bacteria
Description: partial 16S ribosomal RNA
Rfam family: Bacterial small subunit ribosomal RNA
Source: RNAcentral